GGGUAUAGCUCAGUGGUAGAGUGUGUGUUUAGCAUGCGUGAGGCCCUGGGUUCAAUCCCCAGUACUGCCA
This 70-nucleotide transfer RNA is filed under the name Camelus bactrianus (Bactrian camel). It matches the Rfam family "tRNA". Rfam says of the family: Transfer RNA (tRNA) molecules are approximately 80 nucleotides in length. Their secondary structure includes four short double-helical elements and three loops (D, anti-codon, and T loops). The record is from Rfam by way of RNAcentral. RNAcentral also lists the same sequence under 2 other names. Lineage: Eukaryota; Metazoa; Chordata; Mammalia; Artiodactyla; Camelidae.